UACGGAGGAUGCAAGCGUUAUCCGGAUUUAUUGGGUUUAAAGGGUGCGUAGGCGGAUUGAUAAGUUAGAGGUGAAAUGUCCGAGCUCAACUCGGGAACUGCCUCUAAUACUGUUGAUCUAGAGAGUAGAUGCGGUAGGCGGAAUGUAUGGUGUAGCGGUGAAAUGCUUAGAGAUCAUACAGAACACCGAUUGCGAAGGCAGCUUACCAAUCUAUAUCUGACGUUGAGGCACGAAAGCGUGGGGAGCAAACAGG
Molecule: ribosomal RNA, 253 nt
Filed under: uncultured bacterium
Lineage: Bacteria
Description: partial 16S ribosomal RNA
Rfam family: Bacterial small subunit ribosomal RNA
Source: RNAcentral